Molecule: long non-coding RNA, 828 nt
Filed under: Anser brachyrhynchus (Pink-footed goose)
Lineage: Eukaryota; Metazoa; Chordata; Aves; Anseriformes; Anatidae
Description: lncRNA (ENSABRG00000013227.1)
Source: RNAcentral
CUUCUUUCCUCCUUGUUACGAGAUUUGAGGUACCACCUCUACCAACAUACACUGAUGUGGCUCCCAGCAGAGCUGGUCUGGACCCAAGUCUCUCUGAAAUGCAAGCAGUAAACAGGAAUAAGAGAGCAUGGGGUGCGUCUGCAGUGACAAAUGUGAGAUGCUCACAGCUGGCAAGUUGUGUACCACAGAUGGAGUGAUUUCUCAUGUAGUGUUACAGUAAUGACCAACGUGACACAGAAGGAAAAUUCUGUGACAAUAUGGAAAGCUCUUCAAGGAACAAGACAUGGAAAAACAGCGGGCUCGGAAGUGCAAUGUUUUUAAACAUCCAGUGCUGCCAGUCAUAAGGCAGAUAAUUAUUGCCAUGGCACUCCCACGCCGAAUGGAUGUGUGUGGACCUGCCCGUGUCAGUGCUGUUGGAGGGGCAGUGGUUCUGGGGAGGACUGGCCAAGGCCACCCCUACUUCUAGAUGGAAGAUACUCUGGGAGAUGGCACAGCUUCAACUAACUUCACGGUUGAAGGAAUAUCGAUUGUUCCUGAAAUGUGUCUGCUAGCAAAAUGCAUCCUCCCAACAUCAAGCACAGAGUUGGCUGGUACCUGUGCCUGCUCACAGUUGCAUGCAGCGAAGUCAAGAGGGAAAUUUGAGGCCAACAUUUUUGCUGGAUUACUGAGGUCAUGUAAAAAAAAAUAUUCUUCAUUUGGCUUGUGUGCAACAGCCUACAAUGGCAGCCGAAAAUCUUCAUGCUGAUGAAAAAGGAGAUGGAACUGAGCUUUGGAGGAUGACACCAGGACCUGGGUGCCUCUUGUGGAUCUUUGCAGCCUGAGAUGCCC